CAGUAGCCGCGGUAAUACGGAGGGCGCGAGCGUUACCCGGAUUUACUGGGCGUAAAGGGCGUGUAGGCGGCCUGGGGCGUCCCAUGUGAAAGGCCACGGCUCAACCGUGGAGGAGCGUGGGAUACGCUCAGGCUAGAGGGUGGGAGAGGGUGGUGGAAUUCCCGGAGUAGCGGUGAAAUGCGCAGAUACCGGGAGGAACGCCGAUGGCGAAGGCAGCCACCUGGUCCACUUCUGACGCUGGGGCGCGAAAGCGUGGGGAGCAAACCGGAUUAGAUACCCGGGUAGUCCCUGUCUCUUAUAC
RNAcentral lists this ribosomal RNA (301 nucleotides) under uncultured bacterium. Its description in RNAcentral is "partial 16S ribosomal RNA". It matches the Rfam family "Bacterial small subunit ribosomal RNA", at positions 509 to 807 of the family's 1533-position model. The record is from RNAcentral.